This 403-nucleotide ribosomal RNA is filed under the name uncultured bacterium. RNAcentral describes it as "partial 16S ribosomal RNA". It matches the Rfam family "Bacterial small subunit ribosomal RNA", at positions 30 to 526 of the family's 1533-position model. The record is from RNAcentral.
AUUGAACGCUGGCGGCAGGCCUAACACAUGCAAGUCGAGCGAGCGGCGGACGGGUGAGUAAUGUAUGGGGACUGCCCGAUAGAGGGGGAUAACUACUGGAAACGGUGGCUAAUACCGCAUACUAUCGGAUAACCCAUAUGGGAUUAGCUAGUAGGUGGGGUAAAGGCUCACCUAGGCGACGAUCUCUAGCUGGUCUGAGAGGAUGAUCAGCCACACUGGGACUGAGACACGGCCCAGACUCCUACGGAGGCAGCAGUGGGGAAUAUUGCGCAAGGGGCGCAAGCCUGAUACAGCCAGGCCGCGUGAAUGAAGAAGGCCUUAGGGUUGUAAAGUACUUUCAGCGGAGAGGCGUUGCCCGCAGAGAAAGCAACGGCUAACUCCGUGCCAGCAGCCGCGGGAAUUC